RNAcentral lists this ribosomal RNA (239 nucleotides) under uncultured Lactobacillus sp. RNAcentral describes it as "partial 16S ribosomal RNA". It matches the Rfam family "Bacterial small subunit ribosomal RNA", at positions 125 to 356 of the family's 1533-position model. Lineage: Bacteria; Bacillati; Bacillota; Bacilli; Lactobacillales; Lactobacillaceae. The record is from RNAcentral.
CCGUAGCCCAAGAGAUCGGGAUAACACCUGGAAACAGAUGCUAAUACCGGAUAANAACAGAUGAUGCCUAUCAACUGUUUAAAAGAUGGUUCUGCUGUCACUCUUGGAUGGACCUGCGGUGCAUUAGCUAGUUGGUAGGGUAACGGCCUACCAAGGCGAUGAUGCAUAGCCGAGUUGAGAGACUGAUCGGCCACAUUGGGACUGAGACACGGCCCAAACUCCUACGGGAGGCAGCAGUG